GACGAACGCUGGCGGCGUGCCUAACACAUGCAAGUCGAACGGGGUUGUUCCUUCGGGGACAACUUAGUGGCGAACGGGUGAGUAACGCGUGAGGAACCUACCUCUCAGUGGGGGACAACAGUUGGAAACGACUGCUAAUACCGCAUAAUGUUUUCGGACCGCAUGAUCUGAAAACCAAAGAUUUAUUGCUGAGAGAUGGCCUCGCGUCUGAUUAGCUAGUUGGUGGGGUAACGGCCCACCAAGGCGACGAUCAGUAGCCGGUCUGAGAGGAUGAACGGCCACAUUGGGACUGAGAUACGGCCCAGACUCCUACGGGAGGCAGCAGUGGGGAAUAUUGCACAAUGGGGGAAACCCUGAUGCAGCAACGCCGCGUGAGUGAAGAAGUAUUUCGGUAUGUAAAGCUCUAUCAGCAGGGAAGAAAAUGGCGGUACCUGACUAAGAAGCCCCGGCUAACUACGUGCCAGCAGCCGCGGUAACACGUAGGGGGCAAGCGUUAUCCGGAUUUACUGGGUUUAAAGGGUGCGUAGGCGGCGUCUUAAGUCAGCGGUGAAAUUUAGGGGCUCAACCUCUACCGUGCCGUUGAUACUGGGAUGCUGGAAUGCGGAUGCCGUGGGAGGAAUGUGUGGUGUAGCGGUGAAAUGCAUAGAUAUCACACAGAACACCGAUUGCGAAGGCAUCUCACGAAUCCGCUAUUGACGCUGAGGCACGAAAGCGUGGGGAUCAAACAGGAUUAGAUACCCUGGUAGUCACGCUGUAAACGAUGAUGACUAACCGUCGGCGAUACACAGUCGGUGGCCAAGCGAAAGCGAUAAGUCAUCCACCUGGGGAGUACGACCCAAGGUUGAAACUCAAAGGAAUUGACGGGGGCCCGCACAAGCGGAGGAACAUGUGGUUUAAUUCGAUGAUACGCGAGGAACCUUACCCGGGCUCGAACGGCAGAUGAAUUGAGUAGAGGUAUUCAAGUCUUCGGACAUCUGUCGAGGUGCUGCAUGGUUGUCGUCAGCUCGUGCAGUGAAGUGUCGGCUUAAGUGCCAUAACGAGCGCAACCCUUGCCGUUAGUUGCCAUCAGGUUAAGCUGGGGACUCUAGCGGGACUGCCACCGCAAGGUGUGAGGAAGGGGGGGAUGACGUCAAAUCAGCACGGCCCUUACGUCCGGGGCGACACACGUGUUACAAUGGCGAGUACAGAGGGAAGCUACCUGGCGACAGGAUGCAGAUCUCGAAAGCUCGUCCCAGUUCGGAUUGGAGUCUGCAACCCGACUCCAUGAAGUUGGAUUCGCUAGUAAUCGCGCAUCAGCCAUGGCGCGGUGAAUACGUUCCCGGGCCUUGUACACACCGCCCGUCAAGCCAUGGAAGCCGGGGGUGCCUGAAGUACGUGACCGGGAGGAGCGUCCUAGGGCAAAACUGGUAACUGGGGCU
RNAcentral lists this ribosomal RNA (1418 nucleotides) under uncultured bacterium. Its description in RNAcentral is "bacterial SSU rRNA". It matches the Rfam family "Bacterial small subunit ribosomal RNA". The record is from RNAcentral.